Molecule: ribosomal RNA, 359 nt
Filed under: uncultured Polaribacter sp.
Lineage: Bacteria; Pseudomonadati; Bacteroidota; Flavobacteriia; Flavobacteriales; Flavobacteriaceae
Description: bacterial SSU rRNA
Rfam family: Bacterial small subunit ribosomal RNA
Source: RNAcentral
AUAGAACCUACCUUUUACAGAGGAAUAGCCUUUAGAAAUGAAGAUUAAUGCCUCAUAGUAUUGUAGACUGGCAUCAGUUUAUAAUUAAAGAUUUAUCGGUAAAAGAUGGCUAUGCGUCCUAUUAGUUAGUUGGUAAGGUAACGGCUUACCAAGACAGCGAUAGGUAGGGGUCCUGAGAGGGAGAUCCCCCACACUGGUACUGAGACACGGACCAGACUCCUACGGGAGGCAGCAGUGAGGAAUAUUGGACAAUGGAGGAGACUCUGAUCCAGCCAUGCCGCGUGUAGGAAGAAUGCCCUAUGGGUUGUAAACUACUUUUAUACAGGAAGAAACACUGGUAUGUAUACCAGCUUGACGGU